CUAAAAGGAUGUCUCAAUUCCACUGAAUAAGCAUUUUCUGAUGAAAAUCCACGCUCCUUAAAGGUUCAACAAGCUCUGGCCACUUCAGCCUCACACAUCUCCUUUGCUGCUUUGGCUCUCAUCCAACAUUUGCAGCCUGUCCUACUCUGUUUAUAUUGGAUACUCCACUAUAAUGCUGUCUGACACUGUGUUUUAGUCUGAUUUUCCUCUCCCCAUGGUUGGUAAGAACUGCAGAAUUGCUCCCUAGAAGCCAGUGAAUAUAAAGUGAGUGUGAAGACAGCCAAAACUCUGCCUGCUGACUCCAAGUGUGACGUGUUUACCCUUUGCCUGUUGUAGCUGUGUGCUUCCAGCUGCCAUGUGAACACAGCUCACUAGUGGCCCAUUAUGAGAUGAAAAAAUAUUUCAUGAUGGAUUGAAUUUAUUUUGGGUGCACAUUCAGAGCUCAGAAUGGCAUAACAGGGCUAUCUUAUAUGAAUCUUAAUGCAGUGAGGGCAGGUUGCCAUGAUUGUAUUUGAAUUUCAGUAUUAAUUAUUUUUUGGCUUUGUGAACAAGCAUCCACUUGAAGAGUGGAAUAUCACAUCUAAACAGAGGACAAAAACAGAUUUAAUACAAAUAUUCUGAAGAACAAAGGCCACAUACAUAAACAAAGCUGGGUCCUUGUUCAAAACCAGAGACAAGCAGCAGCACCAGACCAGGGGGACACGGCAGCACAGCCACAGCGCGUCCUCCAAAACCGACCGGAUUAGACUUUACAUCACCAGAGAUCUAAUUGCUGCUGGGGUUAUUGAUUAUUCCUGGCCUUUCAAACUGCUUCAGAGUUGAGUAUUUUAAGUAUAUUUUAAAGUUUACAUUGUUUGUAAAUAGGGUAGAAAAUUAUCAAAGUAGAGGCAGCAGAACAAGACAAAUCUCUUGUCUAGCAGCACAGUCUGAUCAAUACAAUUAUUAAACUGAGGUGUAUUUGUCUCCAGCCACAUAAUUUUAAUGUUAAAUUAACCCAGAAAGAAGAUACAUUCUUUUUAAGGACAUUGAAUUUUCUUUGUCACAGCAAAUAAAUAAGGUCACAAACACA
RNAcentral lists this long non-coding RNA (1069 nucleotides) under Parus major (Great Tit). Its description in RNAcentral is "lncRNA (ENSPMJG00000000953.1)". Lineage: Eukaryota; Metazoa; Chordata; Aves; Passeriformes; Paridae. The record is from RNAcentral.